AUUGAACGCUGGCGGCAGGCCUAACACAUGCAAGUCGAGCGGAGCGGCUGACGGGCGAGUGAUGCCUACGACUCUGCCUGGUCGUGGGGGAUGCCGUCCUGAAACGGGCGCUAAUACCUCCUACUAUCAGUUGAGCCUAGGUCGGAUUAGCUAGUUGGUGGGGUAAAGGCCUACCAAGGCGACGAUCCGUAACUGGUCUGAGAGGAUGAUCAGUCACACUGGAACUGAGACACGGUCCAGACUCCUACGGGAGGCAGCAGUGGGGAAUAUUGCACAAUGGGCGCAAGCCUGAUGCAGCCAUGCCGCGUGUAUGAAGAAGGCCUUCGGGUUGUAAAGUACUUUCAGCAGGGAGGCGUUACCCGAAGAAGAAGCACCGGCUAACUCCGUGCCAGCAGCCGCGGUAAUUC
This 407-nucleotide ribosomal RNA is filed under the name uncultured bacterium. Its description in RNAcentral is "partial 16S ribosomal RNA". It matches the Rfam family "Bacterial small subunit ribosomal RNA", at positions 30 to 526 of the family's 1533-position model. The record is from RNAcentral.